GAUGAACGCUAGCUACAGGCUUAACACAUGCAAGUCGAGGGGCAGCAUGAGGUCAGCUUGCUGACUUUGAUGGCGACCGGCGCACGGGUGAGUAACGCGUAUCGAACCUACCCUUUACUCGGGAACAGCCUUGCGAAAGCAAGAUUAAUGCCCGAUGUUCCGCGUUUGCCGCAUGGCAAAUUCGGCAAAGAUUUAUUGGUAAAGGAUGGCGAUGCGUCCCAUUAGUUAGUUGGCGGGGUAACGGCCCACCAAGACGACGAUGGGUAGGGGUUCUGAGAGGAAGGUCCCCCACAUUGGAACUGAGACACGGUCCAAACUCCUACGGGAGGCAGCAGUGAGGAAUAUUGGUCAAUGGGCGGAAGCCUGAACCAGCCAAGUAGCGUGCAGGAAGACAGCCCUAUGGGUUGUAAACUGCUUUCAGUCGGGAAUAAUUCGUCGGUCGUGACCGACGUUGCAGGUACCGUCAUAAGAAGGACCGGCUAAUUCCGUG
This 490-nucleotide ribosomal RNA is filed under the name uncultured bacterium. Its description in RNAcentral is "bacterial SSU rRNA". It matches the Rfam family "Bacterial small subunit ribosomal RNA", at positions 28 to 507 of the family's 1533-position model. The record is from RNAcentral.